This 443-nucleotide ribosomal RNA is filed under the name Euzebyella sp. EF1C-B409. Its description in RNAcentral is "bacterial SSU rRNA". It matches the Rfam family "Bacterial small subunit ribosomal RNA", at positions 15 to 451 of the family's 1533-position model. The record is from RNAcentral. Lineage: Bacteria; Pseudomonadati; Bacteroidota; Flavobacteriia; Flavobacteriales; Flavobacteriaceae.
GAUCCUGGCUCAGGAUGAACGCUAGCGGCAGGCCUAACACAUGCAAGUCGAGGGGCAGCGGGGAAAAGCUUGCUUUUCCGCCGGCGACCGGCGCACGGGUGCGCAACGCGUAUACAAUCUGCCCCCUACUGCGGGAUAGCCCAGAGAAAUUUGGAUUAACACCGCAUGGUACCGUAUCCCCGCAUGGGGUUUACGGUUAAAGGUUACGGUAGGGGAUGAGUAUGCGUCCCAUUAGCUUGAUGGCGGGGUAACGGCCCACCAUGGCGACGAUGGGUAGGGGCCCUGAGAGGGGGAUCCCCCACACUGGUACUGAGACACGGACCAGACUCCUACGGGAGGCAGCAGUGAGGAAUAUUGGACAAUGGGCGGGAGCCUGAUCCAGCCAUGCCGCGUGCGGGAAGAAGGCCCUAUGGGUCGUAAACCGCUUUUAUACGGGAAGAAAC